Molecule: ribosomal RNA, 253 nt
Filed under: uncultured bacterium
Lineage: Bacteria
Description: partial 16S ribosomal RNA
Rfam family: Bacterial small subunit ribosomal RNA
Source: RNAcentral
UACGAAGGGUGCAAGCGUUACUCGGAAUUACUGGGCGUAAAGCGUGCGUAGGUGGUUUGUUAAGUCUGUCGUGAAAGCCCCGGGCUCAACCUGGGAAUGGCGAUGGAUACUGGCUCGCUAGAGUGCGGUAGAGGAGAGUGGAAUUCCCGGUGUAGCAGUGAAAUGCGUAGAGAUCGGGAGGAACAUCAGUUGCGAAGGCGGCUCUCUGGACCAGCACUGACACUGAGGCACGAAAGCGUGGGGAGCAAACAGG